UAAGGCAUUUUUUCUAUUAUUUUCCCGUAUUUUUUACCAAGCGCAGAUAACUCUAUUUUCCUCAUUAUUAUUCAUGACGUCAUCAGAUAAAUCUCGGCGUCGCAACGUUACAUUUGUUAGUACCACUCAUUCAGACGUUUAAUUGUUAAUAAAACUAUUAAAAUAUGAUGCAAGUAUAUAAUAGUGACUGAUUUUUAAUCUCAAAUUCAAAGAUUUACGUAAAGUUUAUUAAAUUUAGCUGUUUUUUUAUCGCGGUUUAGGCCCCGCCUAUUUUGAUCAAACGACCAAUCAAAUUUUAUCGGGGUCGUAAAGAAGCUUGCAGUAUGAAUGAAUCGAGCACCUGUCUGGGUUUUCAACAGAAAGGAAUUUUCGUGUUUAAACGUGAAAUUUGCUGCAGUUUUGUAGUUUAUUUGGCAGACAAGUCAUGAAGGAUAGCAAGACUGAUUGUUGUCAUUAGGGCAAAAUAUCUCUUGCUGACCUCAAUCUGUAGCUUAGAGAAAGAUUGAUCAAAAGCUGAUAUAAAGGACUUAUGACCAGGGUGUUUUUGCUUCAAUUCCCUGUACUUAAGACAGUCAUCCACAUCUGAUGAUGGGCCAAGUAGCUGGACAACCAUGUCUAGUGUUGUUUUCUUUCUACAUGAUGCUGAAGCACAAAACAAGUGUUUUCUCUCUUGGUCUAUUGCUGGUACUUCUGGUGGUUCUGUUACGAGAACAUGAGAUGUUUAUUUAUUAAAAAAUGUAUGGGACAUGUACACCUACCAUGAGAUUGUAAGAAGUACAGAUUUCUCAUAAAAAGUAUUCACUAGUUAACCAAUAAUUGAAAAGUGAAUAAGAUAUUAAAGAUCAAUUUUCCAUCUUCCCUUGUUUUGACAUGCAAUAAUGGAAGGACAAGUUCAGAUGAUGCAGCCUUGUCCACACUGGUUUGCCAAAUGUCAUCAAUGAUAGCUCGUUCUUUCUUCAAAGAUGUUGAUCUGAAGUUUGCAGUAUCAGGACCUUGCAUUCGGACUUCAGGCUCAUCCACAGAGUCGUGAAAGACUAAUUCAGUGCCAUUGUAGUGCCACCAUAUGUUAUAUCCUGGAAUCAAAUAAUCAGCAAUGCGCUCAAGGUGUGACUGGAAAAGAGACGACUUGAUUCCAAAAAUCUCUUUAGGAAAGAUAGUGUUUUCCCGCUUUGAAAGUAAUUUUGAUUGUUGGCUUAUCACAGAGUUCUGUUUUGAGAAGGAGCAGAUACGGUUGUCAGUUUGCUGGCAGUUAAAUCUUAAAAUGGUGUUGUCAACAAUCCAACCAGGUUUUCGAUUAGUUGUACCUUCCGCGAGACGUCUUAGUGAUCCAAAAGUUCGUUCUUCCUGCUCGGCAAGGAUAGAUUUUGUAUUGAUAAUUCUAUAAAUCUCCGGCAGAUGCACAACCAAGCUAUGGAAAUGACUGCCGUAAAAUUUUCUUUGUGUCAUCUUUACUGGAAUUCCUAUGAUGGAUUUAGACAAUACAGCGAACAGGAAAGUUUGAUUAUACAACCUUAAAAUUUGUCUGGGAGUUCUUCUUUCAACAGAGCUGUAAGCAAUAUUAAUUAUUUCUACUAGAGAAUUAAUAAGUUGUGAAAUAUCUGACGAUAUUUUUCCAUCCAAUUGUAAAUUUUCUAUGAACUUUGAAAGUUUUAUGGCAUAAAGACGCGCAUCCGAUCCUUUAAUUUGGUUUUUGUCUCCGAUGGUGUUGUUACAAAAUUUUUCCAAAUCCAGUUUUGUAGACUUAAGUUUAACAUGAUGUGGCAAUUCUUGAAUUAUGUUUUGGACUACAUUUGAAAUGUCAUGUAGUGGCUCGCACGGGAGUACCUCGUAACAGCUGACGUUACUCUCUGUCAGGGAUUUUUCUGGAUAAUGUAGGAGGAGGGCAGGUGGGCGAGAUAUUCCAUGCAGCAAAUCUGACAUUUCUUCCUGAAGACUUGCUUUUGUCUUAAGCCUAAAAGUAUCAAUACCUCUACAUUCGAGUUCUUCAGUUAAUUCGUCUUUACUUAAAUUUUGGAAUGGGUUGAUAUUUCCUUGUUUUAUUUUGACCAGACUUUCCCCUUUCAAAAAUACUGCCCUGCGGUCUUCCAAAUCAGAGGGUGUUUGCUUAAAACAGCAUUCCAAAUUAAUGUGAUUUUUACUAUGUACACCGCAUAAGCAUGAAUAAUUUCCCCCUCUCUGCUGACCAGCCUCAAAUUGUCGUGCUGGUCCAUCUCCGCUGAAAAAUCUUAAUUGAAAAGUGUAUGGUAUUCCAUCAAAUAUUACUCCGUUCCUCAGUUCCUCUAGAUCUUCUGUUCUGGUCGGUGUAUAUGAUACUUGUUCUGUGUCCUUAGAGCCUGCAAAAAAAAAAAAAAAUUACAAACAUUUUCUUUUCGCAACUUGUAUACAUGGUAUAGAAAUUCUGUUACUACAAUUUUUCAAAUUUUUCAAAUUACUAAGUCAUAUACAUCAUGUUAAAUUUUGACAUGUCAUGUAAGUCAACAUAAAACUUGCAAAACUUCAACAUGUCUAACCAAAAUUUUAUAGACUUUAACAGUGCUUGUUCAAAAUAUGUAUGUAAUAAAUGGAGUAGGUACAAAUACAUGUAUACAUGAUGUUUGUAAACUAGAACUUGAGAUUCAUUUUGUACUAGUCUUUAAACAUUGUUAAAAUUUUAAUUUAUGAAAACACUUCCUGAAGGAUUUUAGGUACAUGUACAUGUAUGUGCUAAAAAAAUGUCCAAAAAAAAACCAUAGUUGAGGGAGGGUAGGAGGGGUCCUGAUCCAGAAAUGCCGAGCUUAAAAACACGAAUUCCCGGACUUAAAAAUCCCAAAUUCCUGAGGUCCUGAAAUUCAAAAAAAGGAUUCCGGGAUCCCGAAAACACCCAAUCCCGGAGUCCCAAUAAAGGUUCUAUCCCCCCUCAUACAUGUAGUUGUUCAUAUUACCAGCACAUUGAUUUGAGUUUGGUCAGCAAAUUGAGGGAUAUUUAGAAGUCAGUGGCUGCUAUAAGCAUGUACUUCACUGGUAAUGUUGAUUUAUUGUGAUUAUGUUUAAAUCUCUUAAUGCUGUUAGCAAAAAGUUUAAAUUAUUUGGUAUACAUGUAUGGAGAGAUUUAAAGAUGUACAUGACUAUUGGAUUGGUUUCAGUUAUUUGAUCAUGACCUCAUUUAUACAUUUAAGUUCUUCUGACCAAAAGUGUUACUUUAUACAAAAAAAGACCCUUCAUUUAUUUCUGCUUUUUAUAUCAUUAAUUACAAAUAUACAUGUAUAUAUACCAAAGUCUACAACAUUUUUUGAAAGUUUGGUUAUUUUGAAACCGUAACGAAAAAUAAUAUAGUAGAAGCUUUGAAACAUCGUCAGAUAUUUCAGUGUGUGAACUUAUGUUAAAAUGUUGCUUACACCUUUUGUUGAACUUUUGUUAUAAUGUUGCAUACGGCUUUUGUUAUAAUUCAUGUAAUUAUUGUUAAUAUCUUCAUAUAUUUUUUAAUCAUGUUGAUGUACAUGUAUAUAAUAUCAUUUUGUCCAACCUGCAACAGAAAAUUAGACCAAACAAUGCUACGUAUACAUGUAUAUAUUCAAGUGGCAGAUUUUGUUUUUUGAAAUGUUUAUAUCAAGUGAUGAAAGUUCCCUGUAAUCUUAUUUCUUUAUGAGCAAUAGGAUUACUAUACUUAGUAUGUGUGUAACUUGCAAGGACCUUGACCUCAUGUUGACCAGACAGUUUUUAUACCAGCAUUAUAUUUUCUAGUCUGUGCGUCCGUUUGUUCGUUCAUUCGUUUGUCUGUCCCGCGUAGUGUUAAAUUUUUUGCUCAAGGAAGUUUUUGAUGAAGCUUCUGUCCAAUCAACUUGAAACUUAGUUCACAUGUUCCUUAUAAUAUGAUCUUUCUAAUUUUAAAGCUAAAUUAGACUUUUUGACCCCAAUUUCACGGUCCACUGAAGAUGGAAAAUGGAAGUUUUAGUUUCAGGUUUAACUUUUAGGUCAUGAUAGUUUUUGAUGAAGUUGAAGUCCAAUCAAAUUGAAACUUAGUACACAUCCUAUGGUAUGAUCUUUUUAAUUUUAAUGCCAAAUUAGAUUUUUUACCCAAUUUCACAGUCCAUUGGACAUGGUAAAUGAUAGUACAAGUUGACCUCAUUUGUAUGUUUCAGUGGUUAAAUUAAAGUUUUUGAAUUAUGGUCUUUUUCUCUAAUACUUCUUGUAUAUAUAUGCAAUUGGUGAACUAUAUUUGGUGUAUGGAAAUAUUUUAGGAUGCACAUGUCAGACUUGCAGGAUUAAUUUGACCUUGACCUCAUAUUCAUGGUUCAUUGCUCAGUGUGAUUUUUUUCGAUUUACAUUGUACAUGUAAUCUAUUGUUCUUAAUUAUAUAUAUAUAUAUUAUAUAAACUAUAAGCAAUAGGUCAACUAUAUUUGUUGUAUGGAAUGAUUUUAAUGUGUAUAUGUCUGGCAGGUAUCACCUGACCUUCACGUAGAAUUAAGGGUUCAUUGCAUUUGGUCAAUGUUGAGUUUUCAUGGAUGAGAUUGUUUCUAUAAUUUGUAGGACAACUAUAUUUAAUGUACAGACUGAUUGUAAGGUGUACAUGACUGUCUGGCAUUGUCUGGUUCAUCUGACCUUUACCUUAUUUUCAUGGUUCAUUGGUCAUGUUGGUGAUUAUCAAAAUAGGUUGACUAUAUAUUUGGUGUUCUGAAUGAUUGUAAGGUGCAAAUGUAUUUCUUGUUUGGUUGAUCUCAUGCACCUUGUCCUAGGAUCAUAUUAAGUUUAUGUAAUUCUUGUAGUAAAGCUUUUGAAUUUAAAUAAAGGACUAUCAUGAUCAGCAUAAAUCAAUGGUUGAUAAAGUAAGCGAGAGAUUUCAGUGAGUGCACUCUUAUUUCAUGUAUUUAAUGAUAAAGAGAUUGCAUUGUCGGAACCAAACAUGGAAUUAUUGUUUUAAAAUUUGUAUUUUACUGAGAGGUUGAUGCUUUACAGUUGAUAGCUGUUUCAGACUGAUUUAGAUUAAACUUUUUGACAUUAUAGAUUUUUAACCUUUGUAGAAUGUCUAUGAAAUUAUACAGUAUUAUUUAUUUUCAAGAUCAUGAAAUAUCUAUAAAGGGUUAUUGUAUUUUACUGCAAAAUAAAGCCUUUUUUUGUUAACAAGUGCAUUAGUAGCCAAUACCUGAUUGUCCAAAAAUGUACAGGUUUGGUCUCUCUACAAUAGCUUGAACAUCUACAGGCUUCUUCUUCGGAUAGGUUUCCUUAAAUUCUUCAUUGGUCAGGAAGUUUGCAUGGUCAUAGAGAAAGCUGACCAUGAAGCUUAUAUAUGUAUGGUUCAGGAUAUCUGAAUGGUCAUGCCAUAGUUUAAGGUGAAUCUGUCUCUCCAUGGUCAUUAAUUGGUUAAUAUCUGUAGUGUUGUCUGUUUCAGUGGACUUUGUUGAUGAAAUUUGUUUAAACCUAUUAUUGACGGCCUCCUUUGAUAAUGAUUUGUAGUGCUCGUCACUCUUGGAUAUUAAGACGCCAGAUUUUGUAAGCCUUUGAAUUUCUUUCAGUAUUAUAUCUUUAAGGGGAAUUUUCCGGCCAUAUACUUGAAUUGAUGUUUCUUGAAUAUUACCUGAAGAAUCAAUGGUGUUCUUUCGGAUUUCCUUAGGGGCAAUUUUUAGGCCAAUGUCGUAAAUUUUUGAUUCCAAUUUGUGCUGAAUAAUAGAUUUCAGUUGUUUAGCUGUUCUUUUAUUUGGAAUAGCAAGUUUUCCCCUGAAGACUCGCUUUUUUGACCUCCUAAUUCUUUGAAGAUGGUCCCUUCCACUUAUCCUUAAAUGUGGAUUAAAUUGGUUGACGUCAAUAUCGUUGUCCCGUGCAAAUUGCUUAAGGAUUUGCCCCCCAUUGCCAGCAAGCUUUCCAUUUAACGUGACGUUGUACUUGAUAGCCAUUCGGGUCCAAUUCAUGAUGGUAGAUUUACAAUUUUUUACUUCCUCAAGAAAUUCUUGUCGAUUAAAAUUAUAGUUGGUGUACUUGCCUAUGUGUGUCUUUGGCUUUUUACCUGAGGCAAGUUUGGUCUGUAGGUCAUCAGCUUGUCUUUCAGCUUGGUCGGUUGUAACAUAACAGGUUUGAAGUCGCUCCCUUUCAUACUGUAGAAAAGACUUCCCACUGGCAAGCAAAUUUUGAACAUCACCAUCAUUUUCAGUCAUUGAUUCCGCUAUUUGUUGUGUUGUCUCUCGAAUCGAUGUCAUAAUUUUGUUGUUUUUUUCAACAGCUGAUUUUCUAGGUGUCAUGUUCAUAACAUCUGCCAACGUUUUCUUAAAAUUAAUGUUAUAUUGGGUUUCAAUAAUUGGUUCUAAAACUUUAAUAACAUUUUGAACUGUUUUUUUUCCAAUUGAUGAAGACGGUGACACAAUAAUCUCAUUGAUGUUGUUUACAAGGUCUUUACAUGGCUGUACUAAUGAUGAAGCAUGAGAAUAUGACUUGUGCAGAGAUGAUAUGCUGCCAUGGGUGGUCAAACAGGUGGAACAAUCUUGCAAUUUGUGGCUUUGCUUUUCAUUUUCUGGAAGUUUAAGCCAAUUGAAUAGAGAGAAGUUAUCAGUGAACCUCAUUUUUUCACCAGCUUUGCCAUUAUGCACAAAAUAUUUGCUGUUUGUUACAUAAUUUUGAAGUUUAGGGAGCUGGUUUUUGAAUAUGUCAUAUGAUGGUAUCUGUAGAUUUCUGUAUUUUGUCAUAAAAAUGUUGUAGUUUUCAUGUCUCUGCUGAAUUGAUAUACUAUUUAUAUACUUUGCUUUUACAAAAUUUGAUGUAGUUUUGGAAUUAUCAUAAUUAUUAAAAAAAUCAAUUGCU
Long non-coding RNA from Mytilus trossulus (common blue mussel), 6766 nucleotides. RefSeq lists it as uncharacterized. The transcript is spliced from 4 exons. Lineage: Eukaryota; Metazoa; Mollusca; Bivalvia; Mytilida; Mytilidae. The record is from RefSeq and is a predicted model, not a curated record.